AUGCGACGCCCCUUAAUUAUAUCUUUAAAUAUGUUAUGUUCUUAAAAAUUCUGUUACAUAAAGUAAUAGUUCGUAUUUUGGGAUUUUGGGUCUAUCAAUAUAGUCCAAAAAUAUUUAGACAUUAUCAGCAAUAUUGGUACGUUUUGAGACGGCAUUUUCCUCUUUCCAGCAGUGCGUGACCCGAAGGAGAAUGUUAGCAAAGUCCUCUGUUAGAGCUCCGACUAGCUUAACACUAAAGUUUUCAUACAGUUUUAAAUAUCAAAACAAUCUAUUUGUAAGGCAAUUGUUAAAAUGAGUUUAGACUCACUCUUCCAGCAAAUUCUGAUGACUGAGCAUCAGCUGACGGAACAGACACAAAAACUCAAAGACGUAAAAGUGGAAAUUAUUCGAUGCAAUGAGAAGAUUAAGAGUGAAACCGAAAAAUAUGAGCAGACCACUGAGGAACUUGAUAAGAAGGCUCAGCAGUUGUCGACGAUGACUCCGCAGUGUGAUAUGAUAAAGAAAUGUGAAGACCAGAUGUUGAAGCAAAUUGAGGAGCGGCUCUGUCAGCAGAGCCACCUCAGGGAUCAUCUGGCCAAGAUAAAACAGGAGUCUAAAGAAGAAGAGCAACAGUUCCUUCAGGAGAUUGUGAGGUUCAACGAUGACUUCAGCCUUUCAGGGAACAGAGCAACUGUGUUGGAGAGCCAAGCACACGCUGAGAUCAUGGCCCUGCAGAGUGAGGCGGAAGCUUUGCACAAAGAGAUGGAUGAGAUGAAGUGCACGAACAGCCACAUGAGCUCCACACUGGAGGAAAAGGGGCAACUGCUGCUGGACCUCCAGGACCUGGAGGACGUUCAGAGAGCAGACCUGGAGCAGCAGAUGAAAGAGGCUCAAUCAAUGACUGAAUCUCUGAGAUCAGAGAGCCUCUUUGUCAGUCAGAAGCACCUUACUGACAGCACCUGUCUGAGCCUGAGAAAGGAGCUGGAGAUGCUGAAAGAUCAAGACCUCGAACACCUUCGACAGGCCCUCAGCUCCGAUGUGCAGUUCCUCCAGGCAGUUUACGAGUACCCACUGUUGGGAAUCAGUGCUGGAAACCAUUCCAGCCUUGAGCCGGUCUACAGUUUUGUCCCUGGUGUCUUUUGGAGGGCUUGUAAAAAAUGAACUAACAGGUCUGUGAGAGCCCAAUUUCUUGCCGAUUCUGUCUCAGUUGAAGUGUACCUACAAUGAAAAUUACAGACUUCUCCAUUCUUUAAGCGGAAGAGCAGCCAGGAGAAUGAGCAGCGCUAAGAUGAACUCACUGAUUCAAGAUAUUUACUUUCUGACCGUUGUGUUUUUGAGCCAGCCAGUACUGCUACAGGUGCUGUUACAUUGUAAAAUACGUAGUUGUGCUUUGAUAUUUAUUUUUAAAAAGAUGGGUUUGAUGUUGAUCUUUCAAAUGUAGAAAACCCUAAAAAAGAAUAGAUUAUUUGAAUCUUAAGCCUUCUUUCCAUGUUCAAUGUGUUUGAAACAGUAGUAAUUUUAAAAUUUUACCUUCACAACCUUUGAGGUCUCUCUGAGUGUAAUAUUUUUCCCUUAUAGAAUUCCAAUUCGGGAAAGUCUAAAUUUAUCCCAACAUUGUCAGUUGUCUGGUUUCUUUUAUCCUUUAUUGAAUAAAUUCAGUACAUUUAAUUAUUUGUUUUGUGAACUUUGGUUUAAUUAAUAGGAUGCACAAUGGUAAAAGAAAUUGACCAAGUAAUUACAUGUUUUUUAAAUGAAAUGUAAUUUUAGUUUUUUCAUUUUUGUUUGUUUGUUUGAAGCAUUUUCAGGUGCCUACUUGUUAAAAUACAUUUCAAGUAAAUAAUAAGUUUCAGGUUAAAGACGCCAACUGAAACUGCAAGAUAGUGAGAAGAAAAACGUGAGUUUACGCUGCCCUCUAGUGUACAAAGAGGGUUGUUGCAUUAAUCUGUGUGGAUUCAAUAAAGAGAGAGCUGCUGCCAUGACCUUA
This is an RNA transcript of Girardinichthys multiradiatus, 1963 nucleotides long. It is a transcript of the gene named coiled-coil domain containing 172, with no coding region annotated. The transcript has 10 exons. NCBI's taxonomy places the organism in Eukaryota, Metazoa, Chordata, Actinopteri, Cyprinodontiformes, Goodeidae. The record is from RefSeq and is a predicted model, not a curated record.